GAAGUGCGAUAAGCAAUGCGAAUUGCAGAACCGUGAGUCAUCAGAUUUUUGAACGCAACUGGCGCUGGUUGGCUAUCCAACCAGCAUGCUUGUUUCAGUGUCUCUUUAACCCUUCACCCAAAUCUUAAUGCGAGAGAUACCCUUCUCUUGUUAAGCAUGAAAGCACUCUGCGCUCUGCGAGCGACUUCGACUUGUUCUUAGUCGCACUCAAUGCAGCAGUCACAUUGUUCACAAUGUGAACUCAUUGAGAGCAAAGGCAGUGCGGCCUUACAGCUGCCAGUGCUUAGACACUCAAACUUUUCUUGUAUCUGAAAUCAAGCAGGAUCACCCGCUGAACUUAA
This 341-nucleotide unclassified non-coding RNA is filed under the name uncultured fungus. Its description in RNAcentral is "sequence contains ITS1". The stretch from base 1 to 103 matches the Rfam family "5.8S ribosomal RNA", at positions 50 to 154 of the family's 154-position model. The record is from RNAcentral. Lineage: Eukaryota; Fungi.